AUUGAACGCUGGCGGCAUGCCUUACACAUGCAAGUCGAACGGCAGCACGGGAGCAAUCCUGGUGGCGAGUGGCGAACGGGUGAGUAAUACAUCGGAACGUGUCCAGUAGUGGGGGAUAGC
Molecule: ribosomal RNA, 120 nt
Filed under: uncultured bacterium
Lineage: Bacteria
Description: partial 16S ribosomal RNA
Rfam family: Bacterial small subunit ribosomal RNA
Source: RNAcentral